This 275-nucleotide ribosomal RNA is filed under the name uncultured bacterium. Its description in RNAcentral is "partial 16S ribosomal RNA". It matches the Rfam family "Bacterial small subunit ribosomal RNA", at positions 523 to 796 of the family's 1533-position model. The record is from RNAcentral.
AUACGAAGGGGGCUAGCGUUGUUCGGAAUUACUGGGCGUAAAGAGCUCGUAGGCGGCUCAGCAAGUCGGUCGUGAAAGCCCGAGGCUCAACCUCGGAACUGCGGUCGAUACUGCUGUGGCUAGAGUCCGGUAGAGGAGAGUGGAAUUCCCGGUGUAGCGGUGGAAUGCGCAGAUAUCGGGAGGAACACCAGUGGCGAAGGCGGCUCUCUGGGCCGGUACUGACGCUGAGGAGCGAAAGCGUGGGGAGCAAACAGGAUUAGAAACCCUAGUAGUCC